Molecule: unclassified non-coding RNA, 339 nt
Filed under: soil metagenome
Description: partial contains 5.8S ribosomal RNA, internal transcribed spacer 2, and large subunit ribosomal RNA
Rfam family: 5.8S ribosomal RNA (bases 1-120)
Source: RNAcentral
GAUGAAGAACGCAGCGAAAUGCGAUAAGUAGUGUGAAUUGCAGAAUUCAGUGAAUCAUCGAAUCUUUGAACGCGCAUUGCGCCCCUCGGUAUUCCGUGGGGCAUGCCUGUUCGAGCGUCAUUUAACCCCUCAAGCCUAGCUUGGUAUUGGGUGCUUGUCCCGCCUCUCGCGCGGCGACUCACCUCAAAGUCAUUGGCAGCCCGCAUCUCGCCGGCCGUGAGCGCAGCACAGACGCGCUCUUGGCAACGACGGAUCGGCUCUCCAAAAGCUUAUUUCAACCACUGACCUCGGAUCAGGUAGGGAUACCCGCUGAACUUAAGCAUAUCAAUAAGCGGAGGA